UAAUACGGAGGGUGCGAGCGUUAAUCGGAAUUACUGGGCGUAAAGCGUACGCAGGCGGUUUGUUAAGCGAGAUGUGAAAGCCCCGGGCUCAACCUGGGAACUGCAUUUCGAACUGGCAAACUAGAGUGUGAUAGAGGGUGGUAGAAUUUCAGGUGUAGCGGUGAAAUGCGUAGAGAUCUGAAGGAAUACCGAUGGCGAAGGCAGCCACCUGGGUCAACACUGACGCUCAUGUACGAAAGCGUGGGGAGCAAACAGGAUUAGAUACCCUGGUAGUCCACGCCGUAAACGAUGUCUACUAGAAGCUCGGAACCUCGGUUCUGUUUUUCAAAGCUAACGCAUUAAGUAGACCGCCUGGGGAGUACGGCCGCAAGGUUA
RNAcentral lists this ribosomal RNA (375 nucleotides) under uncultured bacterium. Its description in RNAcentral is "bacterial SSU rRNA". It matches the Rfam family "Bacterial small subunit ribosomal RNA", at positions 521 to 896 of the family's 1533-position model. The record is from RNAcentral.